UACGUAGGGGGCAAGCGCUGUCCGGAUUUAUUGGGCGUAAAGAGCGUGUAGGCGGCUUUACAGGUCCGUUGUGAAAACUCGAGGCUCAACCUCGAGACGCCGGUGGAAACCGUAAGGCUAGAGUCCGGAAGAGGAGAGUGGAAUUCCUGGUGUAGCGGUGAAAUGCGCAGAUAUCAGGAAGAACACCCGUGGCGAAGGCGGCUCUCUGGGACGGUACUGACGCUGAGGAGCGAAAGCCAGGGGAGCAAACGGG
This 253-nucleotide ribosomal RNA is filed under the name uncultured bacterium. Its description in RNAcentral is "partial 16S ribosomal RNA". It matches the Rfam family "Bacterial small subunit ribosomal RNA", at positions 524 to 776 of the family's 1533-position model. The record is from RNAcentral.